UCCAGUUAUAAUAUGCGUUCUCUUAUAUGAAAAGAAUUGUGUUCAUUCAUCACACCCAAAAAAAGAGUGUGAAAGUUGUUUCUCUUUAAAAAAAAAAAAAAGAAUCUUUCUCUGGUGCAUGAGCAAGGGAAGAGAAACACAAUUCACGACACGCUUGACGCCGUCAAUCAAAAUUUCACUCGUUUUCAGCGCCUUCUUCCUGCUCUCUCUUCUAACUUCUCUCCAGAUCUUCAACUCUCUCUCUCCCUCUCUCUCCUAACCUUUUCGAACCUUCUCAGAAUCCCCCUAAUUGAAUUUCUACCCGACUGAAAUCGAUGUUUUGAUCGACGUAUCAGUCUUCAAAAUUAGGGUUUAUACUCUCAUUCACACAGACACUGCCACGCGAAACUGAUGGCGGAACAGCCUCUUCAAUUCGAAGACCCUGCAAUUGAUGUUGUUGACGACGAAGACGACGAUGAUGAUGGUGGCGAUGAUACUAUGGAUGAGUUGGAGGAAACGAAUGUGAAUUCAGUGAACGUUGCCGCAGCGAGUGCGAAUCAAGACGACGUCGUUUUGCCUACUACGCGUGCUAGUGAACUCACUCUUUCUUUUGAGGGUGAGGUUUACGUUUUUCCCUCUGUCACACAUCAGAAGGUACAAGCUGUUUUGCUGCUAUUGGAAGGACGUGAUGGGCAGGCAGGCAUGCCUACUGUUGAACUACCAUUUGAUCAAAGUAACAAGGGCAUGGGCAGUAUUACAAAGCGCUCAAACCUUUCACGAAGAAUAGCUUCCUUGGUCAGGUUCCGCGAAAAACGCAAGGAAAGAUGUUUUGACAAGAAAAUUAGAUACACUGUGAGAAAAGAGGUGGCAGAAAGGAUGCAUCGGAAGAAGGGGCAGUUUGCAUCCUUGAAGCAAAACCCUAGUUCCUCUAAUUGUGAUUCACCACAGAGUGUUGGUCAAGAUGGCACUCCUAAUCCAGGAUCUUUACGUAGAUGUCAGCAUUGUGGAGUCAAUGAAAAUAAUACUCCUGCAAUGCGCCGCGGGCCAGCUGGACCAAGAACUUUAUGUAAUGCAUGUGGCCUUAUGUGGGCCAACAAGGGGACACUCAGAGAUCUCAGUAAGGGAGGAAGAAACCUUUCUGUUGAGCAAAGUGGUCUGGACCCUCGUAUUGAUGUCAAGCCUACUGUUCUUGAAGGGGAAUUGUCUGUCAUCCAAAAUGAACAAGGUUUUUCUAAAAUUCCUUCCGAGGCUAUUGCCGCUGAAGGUUCAAAUAAUCAUACAUUAGACCCCUGUGAUGAGGAAUUGCCUGAAUCUGCAGAACACCUAACAAACACUCUGCCAUUGGAAAUUGAUCAAUCUUCGGAUAAUGAUGAUGAGCAGGCUCCAUCUUAGUUCAAGUUGCUCAACUUGAACUUUGCCAAUGAAACUUAGAAUGGAGCUUCCGGUACAUUUGUAAAUGCAAGGGUUGUGUAGGAACCCCUGGCUGAGCUUUCCAAUCCUUCAGAUACAGGAAUGUCGAAUCCUUCGGAUACAGAUGUUGACAUUCCUGGAAACUUUGAUUAGAAGGUACUAAGUGAUUCAUUAUGCCCGGGGGUUUUAGACAAUGGUCCAUUUGUAGGAUAUUCUUCAUGUACGAAUGGGAUGCAGAUGCAGCUCUAGAAGCAAUGAUACGAGACAGUUUGGAAAGUUGGAUUAUGAUUGUAUGUAACAAGCCAAAUGAAGUAACGAUUACUGAUUAGCAAGGGUGGAGAAGCUCUGCUGUUCCAGCCUGGCAUUAAUCAUUCUACAAUAUUGGUCCUGUUAGAAGUGCCAAAUAUUGUUUGUGUAUAUGUUAUUUGAUGAUAUUCCUUGAGUGUUUGGGCUCGUGUUAAUAAAAUUAUGUCUGAUUGCCUGUCUUUGAUAGUGUCAUUUAGAUCAAAGUCUUGUUACCUCAAAUUUAGAGAUAAAACUUUGGUAGUAGGUUGUGUCACCCAAAGGGUAGACCUUUAAUCUGAAUAUCAUUUCAGUGCUGUCAUGGUGUGCUAGUUCCCAUAUUUGAUGAAGUUUAGGCUUCAGCUUCUGGACUCUUGUGGAGAACAUUUCGAUACUUCUUACAAAUAGACUUGUUUCAAACUCUUGUACAUGUACAUAUAAAUAAACACUAGCUUGUGUUAUGUUCUUCUGUAUUAUUCCAUA
This is an RNA transcript of Cicer arietinum (chickpea), 2154 nucleotides long. It is a transcript of the gene named GATA transcription factor 19-like, with no coding region annotated. The record is from RefSeq and is a predicted model, not a curated record. Lineage: Eukaryota; Viridiplantae; Streptophyta; Magnoliopsida; Fabales; Fabaceae.